Molecule: long non-coding RNA, 227 nt
Filed under: Mytilus galloprovincialis (Mediterranean mussel)
Lineage: Eukaryota; Metazoa; Mollusca; Bivalvia; Mytilida; Mytilidae
Source: RNAcentral
UGUUGCUGGUUACUAAAUUAAAUAAAAUACAAAAAGGUAUUAUACUCUUUACAGCUUAAUUUUAUUAACUUUAUUAAAAACCCUAACUGGGCUUGCAUUAAUAUAGGGCCAUUACAGAAAUAAAGGGCAUUAUCAGAAAAACAGGGCAUUACUGAAAAACAGGGCCAUUACAGAAAAACAGGGCCAUUACAGAAAAUAUGUUAUUUUUAAUAACCAGUCAUUUUUGG